CGAGCGUACACAGGUGCUGCAUGGCUGUCGGUCAGCUCGUGUCGUGAGAUGUUGGGUUAAGUCCCGCAACGAGCGCAACCCCUGCAUUCAGUUGCCAUCGGGUAAUGCCGGGCACUCUGGAAGGACUGCCAUCGACAAGAUGGAGGAAGGUGGGGAGUGACGUCAAGUCAUCAUGGCCCUUAUGUCCAGGGCGGACACACGUGCUACAAUGGCCGGCACAACGGGAAGCGAGUUCGCGAGGACGGGCGGAUCCCUCAAAGCCGGUCGCAGUUCGGAUUGAAGUCUGCAACUCGACUUCAUGAAGCUGGAAUCGCUAGUAAUCGUGGAUCAGCCAAGCCGCGGUGAAUACGUUCCCGGGCCUU
RNAcentral lists this ribosomal RNA (362 nucleotides) under uncultured Synergistaceae bacterium. RNAcentral describes it as "bacterial SSU rRNA". It matches the Rfam family "Bacterial small subunit ribosomal RNA", at positions 1025 to 1382 of the family's 1533-position model. Lineage: Bacteria; Thermotogati; Synergistota; Synergistia; Synergistales; Synergistaceae. The record is from RNAcentral.